RNAcentral lists this ribosomal RNA (747 nucleotides) under Bacillus sp. JC441. Its description in RNAcentral is "bacterial SSU rRNA". It matches the Rfam family "Bacterial small subunit ribosomal RNA", at positions 59 to 786 of the family's 1533-position model. The record is from RNAcentral. Lineage: Bacteria; Bacillati; Bacillota; Bacilli; Caryophanales; Bacillaceae.
CAGUCGAGCGGAGAUUUGAAAGCUUGCUUUUCAAAUCUUAGCGGCGGACGGGUGAGUAACACGUGGGCAACCUGCCCUUGAGACGGGGAUAACUCCGGGAAACCGGAGCUAAUACCGGAUAACACAUAUCUUCGCAUGAGGAUAUGUUAGAAGGUGGCUUUUAGCUACCACUCAAGGAUGGGCCCGCGGCGCAUUAGCUAGUUGGUGAGGUAACGGCUCACCAAGGCGACGAUGCGUAGCCGACCUGAGAGGGUGAUCGGCCACACUGGGACUGAGACACGGCCCAGACUCCUACGGGAGGCAGCAGUAGGGAAUCUUCCGCAAUGGACGAAAGUCUGACGGAGCAACGCCGCGUGAGUGAUGAAGGUUUUCGGAUCGUAAAGCUCUGUUGUUAGGGAAGAACAAGUACCUGUUAAAUAAGCAGGUACCUUGACGGUACCUAACCAGAAAGCCACGGCUAACUACGUGCCAGCAGCCGCGGUAAUACGUAGGUGGCAAGCGUUGUCCGGAAUUAUUGGGCGUAAAGCGCGCGCAGGCGGUUCCUUAAGUCUGAUGUGAAAGCCCACGGCUCAACCGUGGAGGGUCAUUGGAAACUGGGGAACUUGAGUGCAGAAGAGGAGAGCGGAAUUCCACGUGUAGCGGUGAAAUGCGUAGAGAUGUGGAGGAACACCAGUGGCGAAGGCGGCUCUCUGGUCUGUAACUGACGCUGAGGCGCGAAAGCGUGGGGAGCGAACAGGAUUAGAUACC